RNAcentral lists this ribosomal RNA (460 nucleotides) under uncultured bacterium. Its description in RNAcentral is "partial 16S ribosomal RNA". It matches the Rfam family "Bacterial small subunit ribosomal RNA", at positions 338 to 795 of the family's 1533-position model. The record is from RNAcentral.
CCUACGGGAGGCAGCAGUGAGGAAUAUUGGUCAAUGGACGAGAGUCUGAACCAGCCAAGUAGCGUGAAGGAAGAAUGAUCUAUGGGUUGUAAACUUCUUUUAUAGGGGAAUAAAGCGAGGCACGUGUGCCUUUUUGCAUGUACUUUAUGAAUAAGGAUCGGCUAACUCCGUGCCAGCAGCCGCGGUAAUACGGAGGAUCCGAGCGUUAUCCGGAUUUAUUGGGUUUAAAGGGAGCGUAGAUGGUUUGUUAAGUCAGUGGUGAAAGUUUGCGGCUCAACCAUAAAAUUGCAGUUGAUACUGGAAGUCUUGAGUACAGUUGAGGUAGGCGGAAUGCGUGGUGUAGCGGUGAAAUGCUUAGAUAUCACGAAGAACUCCGAUUGCGAAGGCAGCUUACUAAACUGCAACUGACACUGAUGCUCGAAAGUGUGGGUAUCAAACAGGAUUAGAUACCCCUGUAGUC